GCUCAGGAUGAACGCUGGCGGCGUGCCUAAUACAUGCAAGUCGAGCGAACUGAUUAGAAGCUUGCUUCUAUGACGUUAGCGGCGGACGGGUGAGUAACACGUGGGCAACCUGCCUGUAAGACUGGGAUAACUUCGGGAAACCGAAGCUAAUACCGGAUAGGAUCUUCUCCUUCAUGGGAGAUGAUUGAAAGAUGGUUUCGGCUAUCACUUACAGAUGGGCCCGCGGUGCAUUAGCUAGUUGGUGAGGUAACGGCUCACCAAGGCAACGAUGCAUAGCCGACCUGAGAGGGUGAUCGGCCACACUGGGACUGAGACACGGCCCAGACUCCUACGGGAGGCAGCAGUAGGGAAUCUUCCGCAAUGGACGAAAGUCUGACGGAGCAACGCCGCGUGAGUGAUGAAGGCUUUCGGGUCGUAAAACUCUGUUGUUAGGGAAAGAACAAGUACGAGAGUAACUGCUCGUACCUUGACGGUACCUAACCAGAAAGCCACGGCUAACUACGUGCCAG
This 509-nucleotide ribosomal RNA is filed under the name Bacillus sp. (in: firmicutes). Its description in RNAcentral is "bacterial SSU rRNA". It matches the Rfam family "Bacterial small subunit ribosomal RNA", at positions 22 to 511 of the family's 1533-position model. Lineage: Bacteria; Bacillati; Bacillota; Bacilli; Caryophanales; Bacillaceae. The record is from RNAcentral.